GUCUAAGGAGAGGAGAGUCCAGUGAGUGACCCAGACGCCCCAGCCAGGAAGAGCAUGAGGUGCGAAGGGGGCUUCCCAGAUGGAGAGAAACAGAUGGUCCCAGAGUGGCUUGGAGACAGGUGCAACAUCAGUGUUGGGGGAGGACAUGGAGCGGAGCGUUCAGGGCUAUCAGGAGGGAGCCCCGUGGCCACGGUGCAAGAUCUAGGCAGGCGGGACAGACAUGGUCAGGAUGCUGGGGACACAGCAUGGGGAAUCCAGCACACAGGACACCAUCCAGCAGGAAAGCAAAGCUGCAGCCUGAGAUCUCCUUCCACCAACUCCUGGCAUGGCCAGAAAGUUAGCCAGAAACACCAGAAAGUGCCAGGCAGCUAGGAAGCAUGGGGAGAGCCCCCUGAAGCUGCGUGUGUAGUGCCUGCUUCCGCUGCCAUCCCAGAAAUGGACGAGCUUCACCCUGAGAACCCAGCCACACCACUGGGACACAUCCUGACAGUGACAUGCACACUCUUCCCUGGCCCCAGCCUGGAGAGGAGCCUCCUGAAGACACCAGCCUUUGCUCCUUCUCCCAGUGGGAG
This is a long non-coding RNA of Homo sapiens (human), 572 nucleotides long. Ensembl annotates it as MTA1 divergent transcript. Its record names the gene MTA1-DT. Lineage: Eukaryota; Metazoa; Chordata; Mammalia; Primates; Hominidae. The record is from Ensembl.